RNAcentral lists this ribosomal RNA (95 nucleotides) under Salvator merianae (Argentine black and white tegu). The record is from RNAcentral. Lineage: Eukaryota; Metazoa; Chordata; Lepidosauria; Squamata; Teiidae.
ACUUUUUUGGGAAGUAGCCCAUCUUAUCUGAACUCAGAACAUAAGCAAAGUUGGGCUUCAUUAGUACUUAGAUAGGAGACUGGGAAAAUGAUGUC